Molecule: transfer RNA, 74 nt
Filed under: Elusimicrobia bacterium RIFOXYA2_FULL_39_19
Lineage: Bacteria; Pseudomonadati; Elusimicrobiota
Description: tRNA-Arg
Rfam family: tRNA
About the family: Transfer RNA (tRNA) molecules are approximately 80 nucleotides in length. Their secondary structure includes four short double-helical elements and three loops (D, anti-codon, and T loops).
Source: RNAcentral
GCGCCCAUAGCUCAAUUGGAUAGAGUGAACGGCUACGAACCGUUAGGUUGUAGGUUCAAAUCCUACUGGGCGCA